GGAAGGGCCCUAACUCAGUGGUAGAGCACCUGCUUUGCAUGCAGAAGGUUCCAGGUUCAAUCCCUGGCAUUUCCA
This is a non-coding RNA of Podarcis lilfordi (Lilford's wall lizard), 75 nucleotides long. NCBI's taxonomy places the organism in Eukaryota, Metazoa, Chordata, Lepidosauria, Squamata, Lacertidae. The record is from the annotation of a GenBank genome assembly.